Molecule: ribosomal RNA, 775 nt
Filed under: uncultured Neocallimastigales
Lineage: Eukaryota; Fungi; Neocallimastigomycota; Neocallimastigomycetes; Neocallimastigales
Description: partial large subunit ribosomal RNA
Rfam family: Eukaryotic large subunit ribosomal RNA
Source: RNAcentral
UAUCUCUGUAGAGUCUGCAUAUCAAUAAGCGGAGGAAAAGAAACUAACUAGGAUUCCCUCAGUAACGGCGAGUGAAGCGGGAAGAGCUCAAAUUUGAAAUCUUCAAGGUUUUACCUUGACGAAUUGUAGUUUAAAGAAGUGUUUUCUGUUGGAUGUUUGGUAAAAGUUCUUUGGAAAAAGACAUCAAAGAGGGUGAGAAUCCCGUAUUUGACCAUUAUUUCCAGCUUUGUGAUACACUUUCAAAGAGUCGGAUUGUUUGGGAAUGCAGUCCAAAAUGGGUGGUAAAUUUCAUCUAAAGCUAAAUAUUGGCGAGAGACCGAUAGCGAACAAGUACCGUGAGGGAAAGAUGAAAAGAACUUUGAAAAGAGAGUUAAACAGUACGUGAAAUUGUCAAAAGGGAAGCGUUUGACACCAGUGUUGUUUUCUCGAAAAUCAAUUAAAAAGUAGUUGGAUUUUGUAUUGUUAAGACCUUAUCAGCUUACUGUACUUUUUUCCUGCUCUUUUUAAUGCACUUUUCGUUUAACAAGUCAACAUCAAUUUCUUUUGUUGUAAAAGGGUCAUUGGAAGGUGGCUUUCUUUUCGGAGAAAGUGUUUAUAGCCUUUGACUUCUGCAAUCGGAGAGAUUGAGGUCUGCAGCGUAGAUCCUUCGGGGUUAGAUGCAUUUGUGCUAAGUUAUAGCCUUUCAUAGACAACUUGUUGACUAUGAUCAGUCAUGUAGCUUACUCGCUUAUGUUAUUUUACCUACGCUUAGGAUGUUGAUCUCUCACAGUCGAGC